This 505-nucleotide ribosomal RNA is filed under the name Staphylococcus sp. RNAcentral describes it as "bacterial SSU rRNA". It matches the Rfam family "Bacterial small subunit ribosomal RNA", at positions 23 to 510 of the family's 1533-position model. Lineage: Bacteria; Bacillati; Bacillota; Bacilli; Caryophanales; Staphylococcaceae. The record is from RNAcentral.
CUCAGGAUGAACGCUGGCGGCGUGCCUAAUACAUGCAAGUCGAGCGAACGGAUAAGGAGCUUGCUCCUUUGAAGUUAGCGGCGGACGGGUGAGUAACACGUGGGUAACCUACCUAUAAGACUGGAAUAACUUCGGGAAACCGGAGCUAAUGCCGGAUAACAUUUGGAACCGCAUGGUUCUAAAGUAAAAGAUGGUUUUGCUAUCACUUAUAGAUGGACCCGCGCCGUAUUAGCUAGUUGGUAAGGUAACGGCUUACCAAGGCAACGAUACGUAGCCGACCUGAGAGGGUGAUCGGCCACACUGGAACUGAGACACGGUCCAGACUCCUACGGGAGGCAGCAGUAGGGAAUCUUCCGCAAUGGACGAAAGUCUGACGGAGCAACGCCGCGUGAGUGAUGAAGGUUUUCGGAUCGUAAAACUCUGUUAUUAGGGAAGAACAAAUGUGUAAGUAACUGUGCACAUCUUGACGGUACCUAAUCAGAAAGCCACGGCUAACUACGUGCCA